Molecule: long non-coding RNA, 1041 nt
Organism: Bos taurus (domestic cattle)
Lineage: Eukaryota; Metazoa; Chordata; Mammalia; Artiodactyla; Bovidae
Source: Ensembl
GAGCUCAAUGUAAUCACAGGGCCUUUCAGUUCAGUUGAAGAGAGUGGGAGGCAGUGGAGGUGGCAGAGUCGGAAGGAGAUAAGAUGUUGGAAGCUUGCUUGGAGAGAUGUCAGAAGCUUGCUGGGAGAGAUGGCACGUCUCCACCUGCCACUGCUAACUUUGAAGAAGAAAGGGGGCUGUAAGUCAAGGAAUGUGAGCAGCCUCGAGAGGCUAGUGGAGGCAAAGGAACAGAUUUUCCCUUAGUACCUCCAAGAAGAAGCAGGCCCAUUGAUAUACUGAUACUAGUCUGGUGUAAAAGACCUAUUUUGGACUUCCGACUUCCAGAAAACUUCCUGGUUUUCCUUCUACCCCACUGACCACCUUUUCCUUGGGCCCUUUGGAAGAGCAAUUCAUUUUGGUAGUGUUUCUUAGGAAUUUCUCCUCAGUACUCUCUCUUUUGAAUUCUUUUUCUUAGGUGAUCUCAUCCAUUCCCAUUCCCAUCCCUUCCCAUUCUGUUCAAGAAUAUUUGAACUUCUUCAAAUAUUUCUUUUUAUAAUGAAUUACUCCCUAAGUGAUAUUCCUAGUUGAGACCCCUCCUAUAGCCCCACACGAUUUAAGCUUGUCAUCUCUCAACUCAACAUUGUUUGUUAAGCUAGGAUAGCAUACAAACAUUUCAAACAUAACAUUUUCAAAAUAAUACCACCCACAAAAGCAGUUCCCCACCCCCACAUUCAAUUAUGUUUGGCUUAAGUCAAAAAGAAGAGUCAAGCUUCAUUUCUCUUUCCCUAACCUCGUGUUCAUCCAUCCCAUCAACAACCCAUCCACUCCAGUCUGCCUUCACUACUGCCUUCCUAGUCCAAGUUACCAUCAUUUUUCACCCCAAAACCAUAGUUGCUCUCCUUCAGCCUCUGCUUCUAUCCUUGUUCCUCCAUGGAUCUAUUUUCCUCACCACAGUGAAAGUGUCCUUCUUAGGGCACAAAUCAGAUCUUGUCAUGUCCCUUUGUAACACCCUUAAAUGGCGUCCGUUGGACUUAGAUCCCAUCUCCUUUGCAAUGACUGGUG